CGAAAGUGGACUAUCUCUCCCAUUACGCUAACGUGAGGUGGCAGGCGAAAACUGAUAGUACUAGUAGUAUUACGAGUAUUGCCAAAGACAAUAAUUUACCGAUCACAUGCGUACAUAUCCUCUUUUCCCUGAUGAUUAUUAGUAGGUUCUUUGUUGCUUAACUUCACUUUGGACCUCCCGUAUUAGGAGGCUGGGUGAGGUCCAAGUUUUCUCCUCCAUCAGAGAGAGUUGUGCCUCUUGACAUGAUCGCAUCCUGAAAUAGUAACCAUUCGGCAUCAGUUGAUGUCAGUGCACGCUAUCCCAAGCAUACCAUCAUGUGCUGGCGGUAACUCACUGUUGAAAUCGUUCGUUCUGGCCGAUGUCCGCCGUUUACCCACCCCGAGUCUCUUCCAGUAGCCAAAGCACGGUUGAGAUCAUUCAAGCUUCUCCCGAGGUUGAAAUAAUCAAUUGAUUCUUGCAAUGAAGGGAGAGACUGCCCCCGGGUCAUCGAUGUCAUAAGGCUCAUCAUCUCUGGAUCGGUCAAAGUCGAAGCCAUAAACUGGUUAAAUUCGUCUUGCAAUGACCCGUCGCUUCUUGGGCCCAAGCAUUAACCUGCGUCGCAGAAGUAGAGUCGCUGAUCACUGAUCUGACCUGUGAGUCCAUGGCUGGAUCGGUCAGCAAACUAUGGAAAAUUGAUUGAGGGCGAUCGGCAGACCAGAAUUUAAGCAUUAAAGAGGCGCCUUUUGACAUUUGACGAUGCGAACGUAUGUAUGUGCUGGAGGAAGAAGGUGUUGAUAGCUGGGCAUCAGACAUUCCGCUGGUACCCACCUCUGUGUUUCUCUGGGAAGACAUUUUUUUUUCAGUCCUUUUGGUAUUGGCGGAUAGGUGAUGGUUGAUGAUUCUCGGUUUUCCACUCUUAUUCUUGUUGUUAUGGCCCUUUACGAGGUCGGCUUAUAUACAAACACCAGAAAAAAGCUCCCUUUUAACCUCUAGUAGAAGUCGCCGAUGACCAGUUCACCAACUUCCUUCCUCCUUUAAGCGGCCAUCGAAAGCUAUAUCUGGAACCCUCACAAGCACCAUUUCGUCUAGUGUGAUAUUGCACUUCCCUUAUUCAAUGCAAUCAGAUACUACCGAACGAAGCCUCUCUAAGUAUCUCGGAU
Molecule: small RNA, 1139 nt
Filed under: Cryptococcus neoformans H99
Lineage: Eukaryota; Fungi; Basidiomycota; Tremellomycetes; Tremellales; Cryptococcaceae
Description: Cryptococcus neoformans var. grubii H99 hypothetical RNA
Source: RNAcentral